UACGGGGGGGGCAAGCGUUGUUCGGAAUUACUGGGCGUAAAGGGUUCGUAGGUGGCCAACUAAGUCAGACGUGAAAUCCCUCAGCUUAACUGGGGAACUGCGUCUGAUACUGGUUGGCUUGAGUGCAGGAGAGGAAUGCGGAAUUCCAGGUGUAGCGGUGAAAUGCGUAGAUAUCUGGAGGAACACCGGUGGCGAAGGCGGCAUUCUGGACUGUAACUGACACUGAGGAACGAAAGCCAGGGGAGCAAACGGG
This 253-nucleotide ribosomal RNA is filed under the name uncultured bacterium. RNAcentral's name for it is "partial 16S ribosomal RNA". It matches the Rfam family "Bacterial small subunit ribosomal RNA", at positions 524 to 776 of the family's 1533-position model. The record is from RNAcentral.